AGAGUUUGAUCAUGGCUCAGGACGAACGCUGGCGGCGCGCUUAACACAUGCAAGUCGAGCGAGAACCAGACCUUCGGGUCUGGGGACAGCGGCGAACGGGUGAGUAACACGUGGGUAAUCAACCCUCGGUACUGGGAUAGCCCGGGGAACCCGGAUUAAUACCGGAUGGCCCUUCGGAUCUUCGGUUCCGAAGGAAAAGGUAGCUUCGGCCUCCGACCGAGGACGAGCCCGCGGCGGAUUAGCUUGUUGGUGAGGUAACGGCCUACCAAGGCGACGAUCUGUAGCUGGUCUGAGAGGACGAUCAGCCACACUGGGACUGAGACACGGCCCAGACUCCUACGGGAGGCAGCAGUGGGGAAUCUUGCGCUAAUGCGGGAAACCGUGACGCAGCGACGCCGCGUGGGGGAAGAAGGCCUUCGGGUUGUAAACCUCUUUCAGGAGGGACGAAGCUACUCGGGUUAAUAGCCCAGAGGGUGACGGUACCUCCAGAAGAAGCCCCGGCUAACUACGUGCCAGCAGCGGCGGUAAUAC
Molecule: ribosomal RNA, 531 nt
Filed under: uncultured bacterium
Lineage: Bacteria
Description: bacterial SSU rRNA
Rfam family: Bacterial small subunit ribosomal RNA
Source: RNAcentral